This is a long non-coding RNA of Drosophila sechellia, 578 nucleotides long. RefSeq lists it as uncharacterized. The record is from RefSeq and is a predicted model, not a curated record. Lineage: Eukaryota; Metazoa; Arthropoda; Insecta; Diptera; Drosophilidae. The transcript has 3 exons.
UAAAAUGAAAUUAUUUGCAAUAAACAUUAAAAUUUUAGACUAACAUUGUUUUAUUUAUUUCUUUUCAGGUACCCCCACCAGAAGGGCAGGAGCACCGCAUCGUUGAGGGCCUCAGGAGUCAUCACAGGUAAGUUUUGUUGCAUUUUGGCAGUGGUCUGUUGCGGCCACUGGAAGUGGGCCAUUUGCAACAAGUAUGUCCGGCCGGCGUUGCAGGUUAGUAGUUCUCGGUUUCAGCAUCCCUCGCCGCGGUCAUUUGAUUAAGGUAAGUUGUAUCGUUAGUGGCAAGAAUGUAAUCCCACGAAGCUGUCAUUGCGUUUAUAUAGAGCUGCUGGCAUUAUGAUGGUGGAGUUCGUCUCGUUGUGGCAGAGAAGUCGUCAGUGAGGAUUGUGGCUCGAUCUAUCACCGAAUGAAGCCAGGUGCGCCGCGUCUUGUGGCCAUAUCGUCGGGAUUGGCAGCUUGGGGCCGCCAGUUCGAGAUUUGUUACAGAGGGCCGUCGUAACGUUAUAGGCAUGGAAAUGGAUGCAAAAAUAGUAUUUGGUACAUUGAGUGGAAAUUAAAUUAAGGUACUUAAAGGAAGC